RNAcentral lists this long non-coding RNA (210 nucleotides) under Elaeis guineensis (African oil palm). RNAcentral describes it as "long non-coding RNA (EGUI_LNC011272)". Lineage: Eukaryota; Viridiplantae; Streptophyta; Magnoliopsida; Arecales; Arecaceae. The record is from RNAcentral.
GAAAGCACUUGAGGGAGAUCAAAGGAAAGGCCGAUGCUAAUGACAAUGGGGGGAAGAUGACGGUGAAGCUCAAUGAGAGGUGGUGGCGAAGGCAGAAAGGAGGUUGGCAUACAUUUGAGAAAGCACCCGAGGGAGAUUAAAAAGGGAAGACUGAUGCCGGUGACGAUGGAGAGGAAGGCAACAAUGGAGACCGACUGAAGAUGGUGAUGA